GGUUGAUCCUGCCGGACCCCACUGCUAUCGGGAUGGGACUAAGACAUGCUAGUCGUGCGCCUUCUAGCCAUGCUGGAGGCGCGGCACACAGCUCAGUAGCACGUGGCUAACCUGCCCUUGAGACGGGAACAACCCCGGGAAACUGGGGCCAAUUCCCGAUAGGUGAAGAUUCCUGGAAUGGGUUUUUGCCGAAAAGACGCUUGGGCCAUGCUUCCAAGCGUUGCUCAAGGAUGGGGCCGCGGCCGAUCAGGUUGUUGGUGAGGUAAUGGCUCACCAAGCCUUUAACCGGUUCGGGCCGUGGGAGCGGUAGCCCGGAGAUGGGCACUGAGACAAGGGCCCAGGCCCUACGGGGCGCAGCAGUCGCGAAAACUUCGCAAUAAGCGAAAGCUUGACGGGGCCAUCCCGAGUGCCAUCUGCUGAGGAUGGCUUUUACCCAGUAUAGAUAGCUGGGGGAAUAAGGAGAGGGCAAGUCUGGUGUCAGCCGCCGCGGUAAUACCAGCUCUCCGAGUUGUGGGGACGUUUAUUGAGCCUGAAGCAUCCGUAGCCGGCUGGGCAAGUCCUCUGUUAAAUCCAGCGACAAAUCGUUGGCCUGCGGGGGAUACUGCUCGGCUAGGGGGCGGGAGAGGCCGUCGGUAUUCUUGGGGUAGGGGUGAAAUCCUAUAAUCCCAGGAGGACCACCAGUGGCGAAGGCUGUCGGCUAGAACGCGCCCGACGGUGAGGGACGAAAGCUGGGGGAGCGAACCGGAUUAGAUACCCGGGUAGUCCCAGCUGUAAACGAUGCUGGCUAGGUGUUGGAGCGGCUACGAGCCGCUCCAGUGCCGCAGGGAAGCCAUUAAGCCAGCCGCCUGGGGAGUACGGCCGCAAGGCUGAAACUUAAAGGAAUUGGCGGGGGAGCACCACAAGGGGUGAAGCUUGCGGUUUAAUUGGAKUCAACGCCGGR
RNAcentral lists this ribosomal RNA (940 nucleotides) under uncultured archaeon. Its description in RNAcentral is "bacterial SSU rRNA". It matches the Rfam family "Archaeal small subunit ribosomal RNA", at positions 6 to 922 of the family's 1478-position model. The record is from RNAcentral.